GGGGGGUAUGCGGAAGGAUCAUUACCGAGUGUAGGGUUCCUAGCGAGCCCAACCUCCCACCCGUGUUUACUGUACCUUAGUUGCUUCGGCGGGCCCGCCAUUCAUGGCCGCCGGGGGCUCUCAGCCCCGGGCCCGCGCCCGCCGGAGACACCACGAACUCUGUCUGAUCUAGUGAAGUCUGAGUUGAUUGUAUCGCAAUCAGUUAAAACUUUCAACAAUGGAUCUCUUGGUUCCGGCAUCGAUGAAGAACGCAGCGAAAUGCGAUAACUAGUGUGAAUUGCAGAAUUCCGUGAAUCAUCGAGUCUUUGAACGCACAUUGCGCCCCCUGGUAUUCCGGGGGGCAUGCCUGUCCGAGCGUCAUUGCUGCCCAUCAAGCACGGCUUGUGUGUUGGGUCGUCGUCCCCUCUCCGGGGGGGACGGGCCCCAAAGGCAGCGGCGGCACCGCGUCCGAUCCUCGAGCGUAUGGGGCUUUGUCACCCGCUCUGUAGGCCCGGCCGGCGCUUGCCGAACGCAAAUCAAUCUUUUCCAGGUUGACCUCGGAUCAGGUAGGGAUACCCGCUGAACUUAAGCAUAUCAAUAACCGGAGGAAGUU
This 592-nucleotide small RNA is filed under the name Aspergillus flavus. Its description in RNAcentral is "eukaryotic LSU rRNA". The stretch from base 207 to 360 matches the Rfam family "5.8S ribosomal RNA". Lineage: Eukaryota; Fungi; Ascomycota; Eurotiomycetes; Eurotiales; Aspergillaceae. The record is from RNAcentral.